CUACGUGCCAGCAGCCGCGGUAAUACGGAAGGUCCAGGCGUUAUCCGGAUUUAUUGGGUUUAAAGGGAGUGUAGGCGGUUUGUUAAGCGUGUUGUGAAAUUUAGAUGCUCAACAUUUAACUUGCAGCGCGAACUGUCAGACUUGAGUACACGCAACGUAUGCGGAAUUCAUGGUGUAGCGGUGAAAUGCUUAGAUAUCAUGAAGAACUCCGAUUGCGAAGGCAGCUGACGGGAGCGCAACUGACGCUUAAGCUCGAAGGUGCGGGUAUCGAACAGGAUUAGAUACCCUGGUAGUCCGCACAGUAAACGAUGGAUGCCCGCUGUUGGUACCUGGUAUCAGCGGCUAAGCGAAAGCAUUAAGCAUCCCACCUGGGGAGUACGCCGGCAACGGUGAAACUCAAAGGAAUUGACGGGGGCCCGCACAAGCGGAGGAACAUGUGGUUUAAUUCGAUGAUACGCGAGGAACCUUACCCGGGCUUGAAUUGCAGACGAACGAUUCAGAGA
Molecule: ribosomal RNA, 503 nt
Filed under: uncultured bacterium
Lineage: Bacteria
Description: bacterial SSU rRNA
Rfam family: Bacterial small subunit ribosomal RNA
Source: RNAcentral